This 562-nucleotide ribosomal RNA is filed under the name uncultured bacterium. RNAcentral describes it as "bacterial SSU rRNA". It matches the Rfam family "Bacterial small subunit ribosomal RNA", at positions 885 to 1446 of the family's 1533-position model. The record is from RNAcentral.
GUCGCAAGAUUAAAACUCAAAGGAAUUGACGGGGACCCGCACAAGCGGUGGAUGAUGUGGAUUAAUUCGAUGCAACGCGAAAAACCUUACCUACCCUUGACAUGUCCGGAAUCCUGAAGAGAUUUGGGAGUGCUCGCAAGAGAGCCGGAACACAGGUGCUGCAUGGCUGUCGUCAGCUCGUGUCGUGAGAUGUUGGGUUAAGUCCCGCAACGAGCGCAACCCUUAUCCUUAGUUACCAUCAUUCAGUUGGGCACUCUAAUGAGACUGCCGGUGACAAACCGGAGGAAGGUGGGGAUGACGUCAAGUCCUCAUGGCCCUUAUGGGUAGGGCUUCACACGUCAUACAAUGGUCGGUACAGAGGGUUGCCAACCCGCGAGGGGGAGCUAAUCUCACAAAGCCGAUCGUAGUCCGGAUCGCAGUCUGCAACUCGACUGCGUGAAGUCGGAAUCGCUAGUAAUCGUGGAUCAGCAUGUCACGGUGAAUACGUUCCCGGGUCUUGUACACACCGCCCGUCACACCAUGGGAGUGGGUUUCACCAGAAGUAGGUAGUCUAACCGCAAGG